ACUCCUGCGGGAGGCAGCAGUGGGGAAUAUUGGACAAUGGGCGCAAGCCUGAUCCAGCCAUGCCGCGUGAGUGAUGAAGGCCCUAGGGUUGUAAAGCUCUUUCACCGGUGAAGAUAAUGACGGUAACCGGAGAAGAAGCCCCGGCUAACUUCGUGCCAGCAGCCGCGGUAAUACGAAGGGGGCUAGCGUUGUUCGGAUUUACUGGGCGUAAAGCGCACGUAGGCGGACUAUUAAGUCAGGGGUGAAAUCCCGGGGCUCAACCCCGGAACUGCCUUUGAUACUGGUAGUCUUGAGUUCGAGAGAGGUGAGUGGAAUUCCGAGUGUAGAGGUGAAAUUCGUAGAUAUUCGGAGGAACACCAGUGGCGAAGGCGGCUCACUGGCUCGAUACUGACGCUGAGGUGCGAAAGCGUGGGGAGCAAACAGGAUUAGAAACCCCUGUAGUCCCAU
This 447-nucleotide ribosomal RNA is filed under the name uncultured organism. Its description in RNAcentral is "partial 16S ribosomal RNA". It matches the Rfam family "Bacterial small subunit ribosomal RNA", at positions 335 to 798 of the family's 1533-position model. The record is from RNAcentral.